GUAGGAGCUUGAAGGAGAAGGACGUUACAUCGCUUCGCAUGUUCCUUGUUAGGUCAACUCUUGUCUACUCCACCACCUGCAUAACAUUCCCUAAACCUGGUACAUUGCAUAAAGGAAUCGGCCAACGUAAUGACAGGGACGGAGCGGUGGGACGGAGCGUGCUGGUCCACAGGCCGUUGAGGUUGCGGGAUUGAAGUUCGAGCAAGUUCGAGCAUCGGAGUGGUAAGGGCUGCAAUCAUGGUCCUCCUUGCGAGUGGCAGGUUUACAAGGCUUGUCUCCUAAACCUCCAUGGUUGGCGCGGGUUCUUUCUCCAGCACUCUUGGUGGCAGCCAUGGUGUUGGUCGUGUAUAUUGCAAAGGUCGACAAGGCGACUACUACGUCAUGGUCAUGGAUAUGCUCGGGCCAAGUCUCCGGGAUGUCUGGAACUCUUCGGGGUCAAGCGCAAGUAUUUAGGGCAGCUCGUUCUGAUUGAGCAGGUAUGUACAUGGAGACGUGAAGCUCGAGAACUUUCUCCUGGGACAACCCAAUACACCUGAAGAGAAGA
This is a non-coding RNA of Physcomitrium patens, 544 nucleotides long. The record is from RefSeq and is a predicted model, not a curated record. Lineage: Eukaryota; Viridiplantae; Streptophyta; Bryopsida; Funariales; Funariaceae.